RNAcentral lists this ribosomal RNA (498 nucleotides) under uncultured bacterium. RNAcentral describes it as "partial 16S ribosomal RNA". It matches the Rfam family "Bacterial small subunit ribosomal RNA", at positions 29 to 523 of the family's 1533-position model. The record is from RNAcentral.
AUUGAACGCUGGCGGCAUGCUUUACACAUGCAAGUCGAACGGUAACAGGCCGCAAGGUGCUGACGAGUGGCGGACGGGUGAGUAAUGCAUCGGAACGUGCCCAGUCGUGGGGGAUAACGCAGCGAAAGCUGUGCUAAUACCGCAUACGAUCUAUGGAUGAAAGCGGGGGACCGUAAGGCCUCGCGCGAUUGGAGCGGCCGAUGUCAGAUUAGCUAGUUGGUGGGGUAAAGGCCCACAAAGGCGACGAUCUGUAGCUGGUCUGAGAGGACGACCAGCCACACUGGGACUGAGACACGGCCCAGACUCCUACGGGAGGCAGCAGUGGGGAAUUUUGGACAAUGGGCGCAAGCCUGAUCCAGCAAUGCCGCGUGCAGGAAGAAGGCCUUCGGGUUGUAAACUGCUUUUGUACGGAACGAAACGGCCUGGGUUAAUACCCUGGGCUAAUGACGGUACCGUAAGAAUAAGCACCGGCUAACUACGUGCCAGCCGCCGCCGUAA